GACGAACGCUGGCGGCGUGCCUAAUACAUGCAAGUCGAACGCAGUGGGGACGGGUGAGUAACACGUGGGUAACCUCCCAUCAGAGGGGAUAACCCUUGGAAACAGGUGCUAAACCGAUACUGAUGGAUGGACCCGCGGUGCAUUAGCUAGUUGGUGAGGUAACGGCCCACCAAGGCGACGAUGCAUAGCCGACCUGAGAGGGUGAUCGGCCACACUGGGACUGAGACACGGCCCAGACUCCUACGGGAGGCAGCAGUGGGGAAUCUUGGGCAAUGGACGAAAGUCUGACGGAGCAACGCCGCGUGAGUGAAGAAGGUUUUCGGAUCGUAAAGCUCUGUUGUUAGAGAAGCGGUAUCUAACCAGAAAGCCACGGCUAACUACGUGCCAGCAGCCGCGGUAAUUC
This 403-nucleotide ribosomal RNA is filed under the name uncultured bacterium. RNAcentral's name for it is "partial 16S ribosomal RNA". It matches the Rfam family "Bacterial small subunit ribosomal RNA", at positions 28 to 526 of the family's 1533-position model. The record is from RNAcentral.